RNAcentral lists this long non-coding RNA (337 nucleotides) under Gossypium raimondii (Peruvian cotton). RNAcentral describes it as "long non-coding RNA (GRAI_LNC009566)". The record is from RNAcentral. Lineage: Eukaryota; Viridiplantae; Streptophyta; Magnoliopsida; Malvales; Malvaceae.
UGCUCUGCUGUUACGGUGGAGUUUUGUUACUGUCAAUUGAAGAGCAGGGUUUUUUGCAUUUUGGGAAUGAAAUUAACUUAAUUUCUAAGGAUAAAAUGGUAAAAUAAUAAAUAAAAGUAAGGCUAUUUUGGUCUGUUAUAAUGUCAACUGCACUGAAAGCCUCUAACUGCUGCUAUUUGCUCCAGCUGAAAAUCAGCUGAUCAGUGUGGUUGAAAAGCAACCUCACUGCACUGACAGCCUCAACCAAACACAAAUGCAGUGAGUUUGGCACCACCUUUUCCUUUCAAACGUGCCUCACUGCCGUUUUACUUCAAUCCAAAGGAGCACUUAGUCCCAG